UACGGGAGGUAGCAGUGGGGAAUAUUGCACAAUGGGCGAAAGCCUGAUGCAGCUAUGCCGCGUGUAUGAAGAAGGCCUUAGGGUUGUAAAGUACUUUCAUCGGGGAGGAAAAACAAAACUAAUAAUUUUAUUUCUUGACGUUACCCGAAAAAGAAGCACCGGCUAACUCCGUGCCAGCAGCCGCGGUAAUACGGAGGGUGCUAGCGUUAAUCAGAAUUACUGGGCGUAAAGAGCACGUAAGGUGGUUUUUUUAAGUCAGAUGUGAAAUCCCUGGGCUUAACCUGGAACUGCAUUUUGAAACUGAAAUACUAGAGUAUCGUAGAGGGAGGUAGAAUUCUAGGUGUAGCGGUGAAAUGCGUAGAUAUCUGGAGGAAUACCUGUGGCGAAAGCGGCCUCCUAAACGAAUACUGACACUGAGGUGCGAAAGCGUGGGGAGCAAACAGGGAUUAGAUACC
This 455-nucleotide ribosomal RNA is filed under the name uncultured bacterium. Its description in RNAcentral is "bacterial SSU rRNA". It matches the Rfam family "Bacterial small subunit ribosomal RNA", at positions 340 to 786 of the family's 1533-position model. The record is from RNAcentral.